AUGCAAAUUCUGAAAAUGUGCAAGAGAAAACUCAAUCCAGCUUUCCCAAGUAGGAGACAGAGCACAACUCCUUGCGCCAAGACUGCUUGCCUUUUACAACACCACCUUGUGCACAGAAGAAAAUGGCUUCACAUACCGACUGGGCACAUCGACAACCUGGCAUCACAUGAGAGGCGUCUUGAUGAAGGUUGUUUUAUUUUUUGUUGGUUUACAAAAUGAUAUUUUCCUGUCUGUGUGAUAACCCAACUCUUGUAAUAUUUUUACAUUUUGUUUUUUCUUCUGCUACAAUGAAGAUAAACCAGUGAAAAUGAAAUAGUAUGGCAAAAUAACCAACCAAAGAAAUAUAAUGUUAUAUCUAAUAUAGAAUAUUUUAGGUGGUAUUGCUGUUUUUAUUACACAUCUUUUCAAUACACUUUGGACAACAAGAUUUUAGAUCAUUUCUGAAAAACAAACAAAAAGAUUAUCCUGAAAGUUGACACAUUGUUUUAAGAAUCACAAAGCCUUCAGUUUAUUGGGUUUUCAGGGUUGUGGUGGAACAAUUUGAUAUUAACAUAAAAAGAUCUUGCUGCUCUCUUUUAUUCAUCUAUUUUAUAAACUAUUAGAUGACAGAAUAAUUCUGGAACAUUAUUGCUAAAAUGGUACUAUUAGUUGCACAUGAUUAUCAGAUUUUAGACUGAUUUUGCUGCUCUCAUACUUGUGAACACUGAUGAAUUCCAAACAUGGGCUUAUGCUAAACACUUUGAAAGACAGAGGGAGAAAGAGAAAUAUUUAAUCAAAGAAAAGUCUUCAUUAACUUGUUCACUCACAAAAUGAUUGGACCAACUGGGGCAGGACCAGGCUAAAUCAGGAGUCUGGAACUCAAUUUGAGUCUCUCAAGUGGGUGGCAGGGAUCCAAAUACUUGAGCUAGCACCUACUGCCUUUCAGGUUGCAUAAUGGUGGGAAGCUGGAAUCAAGACCAGAUCUGGUCUCAGAUUGAGGAACUCCAGUUUAGAAUGCAAGUAUUAACAUUUUCUCCAUUCUGUUGGGUUCCUAUUCACUUUGUUGAAUGUUUCCUUUCACUGCAGGAGCUUCUCGUCUUGAUGUAAUCCCAUUUGUCUAUUUUGGCUUCUGUUGCCUGUGCUUCUGGGGUCUUAUCCAAGAAAACUUUGGCUAUGCCA
Molecule: long non-coding RNA, 1158 nt
Filed under: Oryctolagus cuniculus (rabbit)
Lineage: Eukaryota; Metazoa; Chordata; Mammalia; Lagomorpha; Leporidae
Description: lncRNA (ENSOCUG00000031485.1)
Source: RNAcentral